RNAcentral lists this long non-coding RNA (224 nucleotides) under Cyanistes caeruleus (blue tit). RNAcentral's name for it is "lncRNA (ENSCCEG00000000281.1)". The record is from RNAcentral. Lineage: Eukaryota; Metazoa; Chordata; Aves; Passeriformes; Paridae.
AAGCAUCAGGGGCUGACCAGAUGAGACACUGACCUAUCAGCCUGAACCGACCUGACUCAUGGACAUCAUCUUUUCUCCACUCCUGAACAUGUAGAGUUCAACCCAUGAGGUUGCAGGGAUUUCCACAAAAUACAUUUGGAGGAGCCAAGCCUUCAACACCAGCAGUUUUCUGUCAGAGUGUUGGAAUGAUCAAUAAAUCGGCACUGACUGAUCUCAGAGUCUGA